Molecule: long non-coding RNA, 1126 nt
Organism: Xyrauchen texanus (razorback sucker)
Lineage: Eukaryota; Metazoa; Chordata; Actinopteri; Cypriniformes; Catostomidae
Exons: 2
Source: RefSeq, a predicted model, not a curated record
GACGUUAUUUGGCCACGUUUCGAAUCGUCCGUUGGCGAGGUGGCUGCAUAAAUAUCCGCUCCUUGAACGUCAUCUUUGUUUUGUAUUAUUUCCUUAAGCGUUUAAAUUACUUUUGGAUAACCAAAUACCCUUUCUGCCUUUGGUAAUGUGUCUUGAAAUCAUGAAAGGAAAUUAUCAGAAGGACAUUGAGACCACGCCUGAAAAUAAGAAGAAAUGUUCCAAAUCCAAGAGGAGACCAUAUCUGCGUGCAAAUAUGGGAAAUGCCAGACUCCGAACACACAGUCGCGAGAAAAGACAAAUCCGCGCCUGGUCAGCCAGGAGAUCUCGGCUGAGUCCGGACCGUGUUGAUGUUUGGAAGGAUCACAAUCGUUCUGUACCGUCUGGUGCCAUGGCACCAAGAAACACAACACAAUAUUUAAUGGACUUGGUGUACACCGAGCGCUUAGAUGUUUCAACGGAUACUUCCGAUAUUAGCCCUGAGUUUUCAAAGCAUAUUCAUGUGUCAUUUGAUGAGAGCAUUUUCUCAUUGCCAGACUCCGAUUACGACAGAUCUUUGAACUUUCAGCAGAGAGACUUCGAGAGUGUGCUCUUCAUGAAUGAAAUCUGACGUGCUCACCGAAACAUGACAUGAUUUCGUGGCAGCGAGACGACCGGGAAGCUGUGAAACCAUAGGCCGUAAUAUCAUUGCGCAGACUCCAACUCGGGGAGGCAGGACGCUCUUCGUCACCGCUGUGCGAUGACGUACCUCUGCCACGCCCCAAGCACUCGCACCACAACCACGUGGUCUGCAGGUAAAUCCACUCCACCCUUUCAGGUGUACGUGGUGUAAGUGCAAAGUAAUUUCUAAAAAUGCAUGCACUAUUCUGCCAUCGGAUGCAUUUGUGUGUUUGAGAGACUUUUACAGGUUGCUGUUCCUCCUCGUUGGCUCUCUAUCAACACUCGGAUUCUUGGGACAAAGCACAUUGCUUCCUGAACGUCGCAAUGUUGGGUAAUUUUGCAUACUGUUGUAAAUGUUACUUAACACCAUCAAGAGAACUUCAUGACCUUCUGUAUUAGAAAAUAUUUUGUAAGAAAAUGUCAUGAUGAAUAUUGAUUGUAUUAACUAUUAAAACUUGUUUUUAACUGA